CUACGGGGGGCUGCAGUGGGGAAUAUUGCACAAUGGGCGCAAGCCUGAUGCAGCCAUGCCGCGUGUAUGAAGAAGGCCUUCGGGUUGUAAAGUACUUUCAGCGGGGUGGAAGGGAGUAAAGUUAAUACCUUUGCUCAUUGACGUUACCCGCAGAAGAAGCACCGGCUAACUCCGUGCCAGCAGCCGCGGUAAUACGGAGGGUGCAAGCGUUAAUCGGAAUUACUGGGCGUAAAACGCACGCAGGCGGUUUGUUAAGUCAGAUGUGAAAUCCCCGGGCUCAACCUGGGAACUGCAUCUGAUACUGGCAAGCUUGAGUCUCGUAGAGGGGGGUAGAAUUCCAGGUGUAGCGGUGAAAUGCGUAGAGAUCUGGAGGAAUACCGGUGGCGAAGGCGGCCCCCUGGACGAAGACUGACGCUCAGGUGCGAAAGCGUGGGGAGCAAACAGGAUUAGAUACCCUUGUAGUC
Molecule: ribosomal RNA, 464 nt
Filed under: uncultured bacterium
Lineage: Bacteria
Description: partial 16S ribosomal RNA
Rfam family: Bacterial small subunit ribosomal RNA
Source: RNAcentral